Molecule: non-coding RNA, 243 nt
Filed under: Bacillus sp. (in: firmicutes)
Lineage: Bacteria; Bacillati; Bacillota; Bacilli; Caryophanales; Bacillaceae
Description: Bacillus sp. T-box sequence
Rfam family: T-box leader
About the family: Uncharged tRNA acts as the effector for transcription antitermination of genes in the T-box leader family. T-boxes are found upstream of many aminoacyl-tRNA synthetase genes and some amino acid biosynthetic genes usually in Gram-positive bacteria.
Source: RNAcentral
UUUAAAUCGCUGAGCAAGAGGAGUAGAUUGAUGGAGUCCGUUCAAGAGAGCCGGGGUAAGGUGAGAGCCCGGUACGGUAAGUCAUUCGAAUGGACUUGCGAGAGGCUUCCUGAAAGAAAGUAGGGAAGCACGGAUUUCCACCGUUAAAAGGAUAGGGUAUCGAUAUGUUUCCGUACCCGAAAAAGGGAGCAGCAUGCUGCUCUAAAAAGAGGUGGCACCACGUUCACAAGACACGUCCUCUAU